Molecule: long non-coding RNA, 307 nt
Organism: Cydia splendana
Lineage: Eukaryota; Metazoa; Arthropoda; Insecta; Lepidoptera; Tortricidae
Exons: 2
Source: RefSeq, a predicted model, not a curated record
CCGGUUUCCUCACGAUGUUUUCACCGAAAAGCGACUGAUAAAUAUCAAAUGAUAUUUCGUACAUAAGUUCCGAAAAACUCAUUGGUACGAGCCAGGAUUUGAAUCCGCGACCUCCGGAUUGCAAGUCGCACGCUCUUACCGCUAGGCCACCAGCGCUUUUUUUUUACUUAAAUAUUCUAUACAUACAAACAUAUAAUCACGCCUAUUUCCCGAAGGGGUAGGCAGAGACCACGGAUUUCCACUUGCUACGAUCCUGACAUACCUCUUUCGCUUCCUUCACUUUCAUAACAUUCCUCAUACACGCUCG